Molecule: non-coding RNA, 2295 nt
Organism: Schizosaccharomyces pombe (fission yeast)
Lineage: Eukaryota; Fungi; Ascomycota; Schizosaccharomycetes; Schizosaccharomycetales; Schizosaccharomycetaceae
Source: the annotation of a GenBank genome assembly
AUUUUGGUAGCAGUAACAGAAUUGCUGUAUGCACUUAGUUGUCAGGCUUUCUAAUCGCCCUAUACUUUUUGAUAGUCUAGGCUUCAAUGAGCAUAUAUGGAAAAAUGAUAGUCCCUUUAAAUCCAUAAAGAAUGAGAAAAAUUGAAGAGGAUAAAACUAAACAGUAGUCGUUUGUGAGGGAUUUUUUAGGUUUUCUUUCUUCAUUUCGGCUUCGUUGUUGAUAUUUAAGUCAUUUGAUAAUUCUGGAUAGUAUAUGAAAAGGUUAUUCCAUGUAGUAUUCCAAGUUUUUAUCAGAUGAUCAGGAAUUUCUGGAUCGACCUCAAUAGUGGGUCCUGCGAGUGCUCCAGCACCGUGUAAAAUCAUAAAAACAUUCUUGAUAGAUUCCAUUACCUCAGCCAUAGACUCUGAACCAUGGAUUGAACUUAAUUUUAUGGCCACGUCCAUUAACUUUAGCCAUAAUGUAUGCAGCAUCUCCUUUUGGGCUGACAACACAUUCAUAUCAAUCAGCACAGUUUUGCAAAUUAUAUUAAACAUUUGGGCUUGCGCUAGACCGAAUAUUUUAUGCUCUGGUUUCUCGGUUAAAACAGUGAUCAUGUUUUCCAUAGUUGGAAGAAGCACCAGGUGGAAGAGAGCCAUAGUAUAACUAACUUCGUGAGGCUGAUCUAACUGUUCCACGACUAUUCGCUGCAAACAUGACAAAGAUGCUGCUCUUAAAGAACGACUUCGCGAGAGGCAAAGCUUACAAACAUGAUCGUAAAUAAUUUUCCAUCUUGUAUCUUGAAAAUGUUCAGAACUUUCAUUGGAGUCAACCUUGUACUCAACUGCUGCUUUUAAAAAUAAAUUAAAUGCAUCGUUCAAUUCUGCACUAUGGUUAUCAAGUAUAGACUUAUCAAACGGAAGCCCUUUUGAAGCUCCCUUUUUUUGCUUUGACAAAAUCUGCGCGAUUUGUUUCACAAUAGUCUGAAUUAGCGUAUCAACGCAACCUAAAUAUACUUGAAACAUUGGAAGAUCAAGUAAAUUAGUAGGGAUUUUGCUAAGCAGCCUAUAUAAAUCAUCAAUAUCUGCUGUAUUUGUAUUAACAGCGGAUUGGACAAGCUGGAGUCCUAUCCAACUUUCAAGUAGAAAGGGGUACUUGUUUACCAACUGAUGAAAAAGUGAUAAGCUCUGAUUUCUGACAACAAUAUUUUUAUCGUUCAAAAGAUUGCACAGCUUACUGAAUAAACCCCAGUCUUCUGAGUUCUCGCUUAACUUCAAGUCGUCAUCCAUGAACAUCUCGAAGAUAUAUAGAGAGAGUUGGUUGAUAACUUUCUCAUCCCCAGAUUGUUCAAUUUGAAAUAGAAGAUAUGACAAAAUUUGGGUUCUUCUUUCCAAUUUGUUGAGUGAUUCUCUAGUUCCCAAAAAUAACGAUGUCAGCAGAUCAGCUACUAUUGCAGACUGGAUGUUACUGAGUGCUUCUACAGACGAAACUUUGUUAUCAUCCACUGUGUUUUCAUCAGUCAGAAGGCUAGUCGACGGAUUUGAUAGACUAAGAAGAGAGUCCAGAAGUUUGUUUAAUCCGGGUUGCUUGAGAUCGACCAAUUUAGUUAAGAAAUUGUCAAUUUUAGCAGAAGAGAUGCAAUCAAUAGUACAUAAAGUAUGUUGAAUUUCUUCAUCUGUUGGACAAGGAGGUUCAUCAUUUGCAUAACUUGAUAAAUAUGAAGAUAAUGCUGACAAUAAACCUCCUUCUUUGCUUAACGCGGGUUUCCCAGAAUUCAACGGAGGUUCAGGAAAUGGAAACCAUUGAUACCCAAACAGCUUGAAACCAGGUAAAAACGAAUUAUCAAUUAGGUUAUUUCGGGCUAGACAAAUGGUGAGCUGAACCAACAAGGGCCAGCUUGCGUCUAUGAUAUUACCAAACUUACUACUUAUCCAAAAGAGAACCAGAAGAGCCAAUUGAGCACGAAAAUCCCUUCCAAAACGUACACUUAAUUCACUAACUGUAAUAAUACGGUCUUCCACUUUAAUAGCAGUAUUUAAUUGAGUACCUGGCACAGAAGAAGGAUCGAGCGCAGUAAAUUGACAAAAGCGCUCAAUAGCAUAAUCAACCGGUUCGUUCAAUUCAUAUGCUGCAGCCACUUCCGUAGCUUGCUGAAUUCCAUUGACAACCCUAUAGAAUACAGUAUCUUCUGUCGCAGUAGAAAACACGUAUAUUAAAGCGGCCAUUAUCGAUUUCCAAACUUCAAGAAAAACAAUUUUAUCAUGCACGUUAGAACUCGAACGCUUGAAUGGCUCAGUUAUUUUCACGCUCUGCUGUAA